GGAUGUUCAUACAUGCCUGGUUCCAAACCCGAAGGUUUUUAAUCUUGCUCAACAAUAAUAUGUAAUUCAACAUAUAUGUAUACGGGUAAUUGACAAAGGUAUAUCAACAUGUGAAUAAAUGCCAUGAUUAUCCAAGUGGGGACACUUGUAUAACCAUUUAGAAAUCAACUUAACAGAAUAUAUAUCUGAGCUAACAUGUUGAUAAUCAAAGCGUACAUAAUCUGUACAGGAAUAGAAUAAUUCUGAAACUUCUUACUCAUGUCCAUUGCAUAAAGGAAAUGCAAAGGUAAGAUACUUGCCUGAUUCGCUGAUUACAAAUCUCAACUUAGGUUUUAUCUCUUUAUCACAACCUAUCAAUAAUCAGAUCAUUCGUUCGAUUAGAACAAUAUAUCAUAACACAUAGUACUGUCUAUUACAGUCAGCACAUAGUCUAAUCACGUCAUCACAUAAUCGCAGUGAUCAUACUUUUAGUUCAUAUUCUAUACUUGAAAUAUUUUUAUACAUUUUUCAAAUAUCUCAUCCAUGCUCUUACAGAAGUCUUUUCUUUCUAUUAUAGGGUCUGACAUUUGUCGGCGUACCGACAGCUUUAUCGGGUAAAUACUGAGUCUAAGACUCUUAUCCUAUACCUCAACAUCUGUAAAUAUCAAACAUUUUAUUUUUAAUCAUUUUCGAAUUUUCCAGAAAUUGAAAAAUUUAAAAUAAUUCAAAUCUGUCACUACCGGGCCUAUAGUGAUAUAACUGUUACUAUAGGUGUUCCUCAAAACUUCAUAACUUCAUAAUCGGUUCUCAAGUCAGCUAGUUUGGCCGGCUAUAACUUUCAAACAUCGGAAUCAUAAUUAAAUGAUUUAAACAUUAAACAAUUCCAUUAUCAUUAAUAAUUAAUUUAUAUUAAACUAUUAAUGAAACCAUUGCCAAAAUAUAAAAGUUAUUUAUAAUAACUCAAACUAUUUUUAAAACAUUUAUAUUACCCUUAAAUGAUUUUUAAAACAAUUAAAAUCAUUUUUAAAUAAUCACCAUUAAUAUAUAAAUAUUAAUGUACUAUUCAUCCAAAUAUUAAAAGUCAUUAAUUAUAACUUAAAAUAUUUUUAAAUCCUUAAUAUCCUCUUUAAAUGAUUUUUAAAUAAAUAAAACCAUUUUUAAACUAUUUAUUUAAUAAUAAUUAUUAAAUAAACUAAAUAUCAUUAAUAUUAUCUUAAUAUCAUUAAUAUUAAAUUAUUAAUGAAAUUAUCCUUUAAAUAUUAAAAGUUAUAUUUUAUAACUUAAAAUAUUUUUAAAUACCUUAAUUUCAUUUAAAAUGAUUUUUAUAAUAUUAAAAUCAUUUUUAAACUAAAUUAUUUAAUAUAAUCAUUAAAUAACUUUAAUAUCAUUAAUAUAUAAUUAAUUAAUGAAAUUCAUCACAAAAUAUUAAAAGUCAUGGAAAAUAACUCAAAAUAUUUUCUUAUACCAUAAAAUAAUUUUUCAUGAUUUUUCAUGAAUUAAAACUAUUUUUAAAUCAUUUAUUUAAUAUUAUAAUUAAAUAAAUAAAUACCUUUUAUAUUUCAAAAAUAUUAAAUAUUUAUGAAAUAUACUCAAAAUAAUUAAAAACUAUUUUUCAGACUUUAAAAUAAUUUUUCAUAAUUUAUUUGGUAUUUUUAAUAAUUAAAAACUAAUUUUUCUAAUUUUUAAAUUAAUUUCCGGAAAAUCAGAAAUUAAAAUAAUUAAAACUGUCGCUAAAGGCCCCUAUAGUGACAGAACCGUCGCUAUAGGUGUUCUUGAGCCUACCCAGAUCUUCAUAAGGCAGAACCGAGUGGGCUACUUUGACCGUGAAUAACUCUCUCAUCUUAACGAAUUUGGACAAUCUAUAAAUUGGGUCUUGUAGAGGAAAUACAAGACUACAAGAUCCAACAAACAUAACCUCUAAAAAACAUCAGAUCUGGGAGAAAACGAACCUCAAAGUAGCUGCCAAAGCUGUUCUUCACGAAAAACAGCUUCGAGGUGCCUACUUUGGACCUCUAUAACUUGGUGAUCGUGUAACAUUUUUGUGCUCUAUCACUUCUAGUGUGUAGACAACAUGGAGGAAUACAACUACAAACCUUAACAUCAUCAUAAUACCAUCAGAUCCAACUAGAAAUCUCCGGUCAAAGUGCACCACGGAAAUUGUGCACAAAAUUUCUGGAUUCGCAAUUUUGGCAGUUUUGGUCAACGGGGUUUUGACCGUUUAUAUCUUGUGAUCUAUAAUAGAUAUGGCCUUGAUUCUUUUUGAAUCUUAAAGACCUCAUAACAAGCUACACAUAACAUCUUACAAACACCAAAAAAAGUAAAUAAUCACAGAGAUAUAAGGCUUGACAUUUGCCCAAAAAUAACAGAAUUCGGUUUUACAAAAGUUGGAAAAACUUUGAUUUUGAGCACUUUGAUGUUAUGGGUUCUGAAUUUAACAACCCAGAACAUUAAUAGACUCCUUAUUACACAACUUUAAACAAUCAAUUGCAUCAAUUAACAUCGAAUCGAAGGAUUUCUAAAUUAGAGAAUUUCAUACCUUUUCUAGCUUCGAUUUUUGAUUUUUUUGGCUUUGAUGCUUCUGAUUUGUUGUUUGUGGUGGCUGGGCUUUGAUUAGGAGCUUAUGGGCAAGGCAAAUUCGUUGGCUAGAGUUUGAGAGAGUGUGUCUAGAGAGUUAUUAUAAUUUUAGUG
This 2667-nucleotide long non-coding RNA is filed under the name Panax ginseng (ginseng). Its description in RNAcentral is "long non-coding RNA (PGIN_LNC013543)". The record is from RNAcentral. Lineage: Eukaryota; Viridiplantae; Streptophyta; Magnoliopsida; Apiales; Araliaceae.